AGAGUUUGAUCCUGGCUCAGGACGAACGCUUGCGGCGUGCCUAAGAAAUGCAAGUCGAGCGAGGUUUAGGCUUCGGCCGACGACCUAGCGGCGAACGGUCGCGUAACACGUAAGCAACCUGCCCUAAAGUUGGGGAUAGCCCGCCGAAAGGCGGAUUAAUACCGAAUGUGGAUAUGAUUUCGCAUGUGAUUAUAUCUGAAGCAGCGAUGCGCUUUAGGAUGGGCUUGCGGCCUAUCAGUUAGUUGGUGUGGGUAACGGCCUACCAAGACGACGACGGGUAGCUGGUCUGAGAGGAUGGUCAGCCGGAUUGGGACUGAGACACGGCCCAGACUCCUACGGGGGGCAGCAAUUAGGAAUCUUGCGCAAUGGGCGAAAGCCUGACGCAGCGACGCCGCGUGACUGAUGAAGUCUUUCGAGAUGUAAAGGUCUUUUGUUGGGGACGAAGGAAGUGACGGUACCCGACGAAUAAGCCCCGGCUAACUACGUGCCAGCCGCCGCGGUAAUAC
RNAcentral lists this ribosomal RNA (506 nucleotides) under uncultured Armatimonadota bacterium. RNAcentral's name for it is "bacterial SSU rRNA". It matches the Rfam family "Bacterial small subunit ribosomal RNA", at positions 8 to 526 of the family's 1533-position model. Lineage: Bacteria; Bacillati; Armatimonadota. The record is from RNAcentral.